This 456-nucleotide ribosomal RNA is filed under the name Triticum aestivum (bread wheat). RNAcentral's name for it is "partial small subunit ribosomal RNA". The record is from RNAcentral. Lineage: Eukaryota; Viridiplantae; Streptophyta; Magnoliopsida; Poales; Poaceae.
AUGGCGCCCAUGGUGGAGUGGUUGCCAUGGUUUGGAUCGGCGGUGGCGAGCGCCAUCUUCUUAUGGUCCAUGGUGCAGAACCACGUCCCGGACACCCUCCGUCUCUACCUCACCACCCGGGCAGCCAAGCUCGCCGCCUGCUUCAACCCUUACCACGAGAUCACCAUCUCCGAGUACGGCGCCAAGCGAUUCCAGCGUAGCGAAUUUUUCCUCGAUGUCGAGGCCUACCUGAGCGAUGCCUGUGCUCACCAUGCACGGAGGCUCAAGGCCGAGCUCGGCAAGGACAGCAAGAACCCCCAAAUCACCGUCGACGACCACGAGGAGGUCACCGACGACUUCUCCGGAACCACACUCUGGUGGUAUGCCUCCAAGCAGCAAUCCAAGGCCAAUGUCAUCAGCAUAUACCCCGGCCGGGAUGAGAAGCGAUUCUACCGGGUUGUAAUUCUUGAGUUGUAA